UGGGGAAUAUUGGACAAUGGGCGAAAGCCUGAUCCAGCCAUGCCGCGUGUGUGAAGAAGGCCUUAUGGUUGUAAAGCACUUUAAGCGAGGAGGAGGCUACUUUAGUUAAUACCUAGAGAUAGUGGACGUUACUCGCAGAAUAAGCACCGGCUAACUCUGUGCCAGCAGCCGCGGUAAUACAGAGGGUGCAAGCGUUAAUCGGAUUUACUGGGCGUAAAGCGCGCGUAGGCGGCUAAUUAAGUCAAAUGUGAAAUCCCCGAGCUUAACUUGGGAAUUGCAUUCGAUACUGGUUAGCUAGAGUGUGGGAGAGGAUGGUAGAAUUCCAGGUGUAGCGGUGAAAUGCGUAGAGAUCUGGAGGAAUACCGAUGGCGAAGGCAGCCAUCUGGCCUAACACUGACACUGAGGUGCGAAAGCGUGGGGAGCAAACAGG
RNAcentral lists this ribosomal RNA (430 nucleotides) under Pseudomonadota bacterium. RNAcentral describes it as "Proteobacteria bacterium partial 16S ribosomal RNA". It matches the Rfam family "Bacterial small subunit ribosomal RNA", at positions 355 to 776 of the family's 1533-position model. Lineage: Bacteria; Pseudomonadati; Pseudomonadota. The record is from RNAcentral.